GCCUGGCUAGCUCAAUCGGUAGAGCGUUUGACUCUUAUGAUCAAAAGGUUGCGGGUUCGACCCCCGCGUCGGGUU
RNAcentral lists this transfer RNA (75 nucleotides) under Debaryomyces hansenii CBS767. RNAcentral describes it as "tRNA Lys (CTT) cove". It matches the Rfam family "tRNA". Rfam says of the family: Transfer RNA (tRNA) molecules are approximately 80 nucleotides in length. The record is from RNAcentral. Lineage: Eukaryota; Fungi; Ascomycota; Pichiomycetes; Serinales; Debaryomycetaceae. RNAcentral also lists the same sequence under 1 other name.